AGUACGUGAAACUGCUUAGAGGUUAAGCCCGAUGAACCUGAAUAUCCAUUAUGGAAAAUUCAUCACUAAUACUAUUGAUAUUUAAAAAUAUAUUAUAGAAAUAGUGUGCAAUUUUUCCAUAUAAGGACAUUGUAAUCUGUUAAUGUAUUAAACAUUUAUUAAAAGAUCUUAUACUUUAGUUUAUUCAAAUUAGUUAUUUUCGAAUUUCUAACAUAGAAUAAAUGUAUUUGAUUUAAUAAAUCAUUGACAGAUUUAAUUAUAAUAUAGUGCUUAAAUUUUUAACGAAAUUUUACAAUAGUAUGACAAUUCAAUUUGAUUAUAUUUAUUGUAUGCGCUUAUAUGAUUAACAAUGCGAUAGAUUCAGGAUACCUUCGGGACCCGUCUUGAAACACGGACCAAGGAGUCUAACAUAUGUGCAAGUCAUUGGGUAUUUUUAAUAAAACCCAAUGGCAUAAUUAACUUAACUGUUUUAUAUUUUUUUAUAAAAUAUGGGAUUAGUUUAUAUUUUAUUAUGAAAUAUUAAUUCAAUCCCGGGGCGUUCUAUAUAGUUAUGUAUAAUGAUAUUUAUAUUAUUUAUGCCUCUAACU
Molecule: ribosomal RNA, 587 nt
Filed under: Cheilosia sibirica
Lineage: Eukaryota; Metazoa; Arthropoda; Insecta; Diptera; Syrphidae
Description: partial large subunit ribosomal RNA
Source: RNAcentral